RNAcentral lists this ribosomal RNA (533 nucleotides) under Escherichia coli. RNAcentral describes it as "partial 23S ribosomal RNA". It matches the Rfam family "Bacterial large subunit ribosomal RNA", at positions 1 to 564 of the family's 2925-position model. The record is from RNAcentral. Lineage: Bacteria; Pseudomonadati; Pseudomonadota; Gammaproteobacteria; Enterobacterales; Enterobacteriaceae.
GGGUUGUGAGGUUAAGCGACUAAGCGUACACGGUGGAUGCCCUGGCAGUCAGAGGCGAUGAAGGACGUGCUAAUCUGCGAUAAGCGUCGGUGAGGUGAUAUGAACCGUUAUAACCGGCGAUUUCCGAAUGGGGAAACCCAGUGUGUUUCGACACACUAUCAUUAACUGAAUCCAUAGGUUAAUGAGGCGAACCGGGGGAACUGAAACAUCUAAGUACCCCGAGGAAAAGAAAUCAACCGAGAUUCCCCCAGUAGCGGCGAGCGAACGGGGAGGAGCCCAGAGCCUGAAUCAGUGUGUGUGUUAGUGGAAGCGUCUGGAAAGGCGUGCGAUACAGGGUGACAGCCCCGUACACAAAAAUGCACAUAUUGUGAGCUCGAUGAGUAGGGCGGGACACGUGGUAUCCUGUCUGAAUAUGGGGGGACCAUCCUCCAAGGCUAAAUACUCCUGACUGACCGAUAGUGAACCAGUACCGUGAGGGAAAGGCGAAAAGAACCCCGGCGAGGGGAGUGAAAAAGAACCUGAAACCGUGUACG